Molecule: long non-coding RNA, 1474 nt
Organism: Homo sapiens (human)
Lineage: Eukaryota; Metazoa; Chordata; Mammalia; Primates; Hominidae
Product: long intergenic non-protein coding RNA 539
Source: Ensembl
GGGCUGAGCAGGCCUGGAAGAAACAAGGCUGCUGGGCUGAGCUUGGGGCCAGCCGCUCAUUUCACCAAGCUGAGCUGUAAUCACAUCCCCAGGUAGCACUGUGCCUUCAGAAUAUGACUGAGCAGCAUUAUGUCUGCAGUGCUAAGCAGGUGUGAUCAAUAGAUGGAGAGCUGUGACCAGCUGGGCUGUGAUGCGGAGCCUGCAACCAAGCUGCCUGGGGGAAAUUCAGGAGGCCAGCCAUCGUCUUUAACCAGGGCAGCCCCGAGAGUGUCUGCAAGGGCUGCAUGCCCUGAGUAGAUCCUCGCAGAUGCUGAUCAGGGUGUCUUCUGGGCUCCACCUGGCACAGAAAAGCCAGCAAAGCUCCAGGGGCUUCCCUUCUUUCCUGGCAGAGAAAGAGCAGGCAGAUUCAGAGCCCCGUGAGGCUGUCUUGAGCUCCACCGGGAUCUAGGGAGAGCCAGCAGCACCACCAAGAUAUUUACGUUGUGAACUGGUAAAAUCUGAACUGCAGAAUAUCAAUUUCCAGACAUUCUUCCUAGAUGAUGCCGUCUGCCACGGAGACCAUGUAGAUGGAUUGAAUGGGGAUAUGAUGAGGAUGACCACCCCUGCAUUUGCUAAGUUCUUGGGAGUGGCAUCGAUCUCAGCCAUUCCACUGGAAUAGGGUCAGGAAACAAAACGUGAGGGCUCUACCAGCUGCUCAGUCUAUCCUUUCCAAUUGAGCACACUGGAACUGAGGAAGCAAAGACAGGAUAAUGGACCUUAACUAGUGGGCUGAAGGCAAUGAGGGGAUGUGAGGAUGCAUCUUGUGAAGGACAAAAGUCAUCCUGUAAGGAUUCAUGAGACCUGAGCAGCCAGCCAGCCCUGAAAUGGUUGGAACAGGAGAAAGAAGAAGAGCUCGACAGAUACCCUGCCUGGGCUGGCAGCUAGCUGCACCACAAGCUGGCCAGCUGACAGCGGGCACAUCCCUUCAUCACCCAGUGCCUUUCUUCCCUCUUGUGAAAAUGGAGAUAUGCUGAGAAGGUUACUUCAGCUCAUCCAGAGAAAGCUUCUUCAGCUAACUAGGCUGUAGAAAGGGCCUACAGCCUAAAUUUUCAAAAACAAGUUAAUGCCAGAAUAUAAACUCCGUGAAGUAACAGAUUGUGUCGGUUUCAUUCCUGCAUGUAUCCCUGGUGCCUAGACAGUGUCUGGCACACAGUAGGUGCUCAACAUUGACUGAAUGUGAGGGAAAAACCUAUGUAGUUCAAUACUAUGUAGACAAGAUCAUAAAUGAUCACUAUUUAAAUUGUGUGUGUUUUCCUUGACAUGAGUAACCAAGAGUCGGCUCCUUCAGGCUGAUAGAAAAUCCUGCUUCCUGGAAAUGAGCAAAUAGAAGAGAUAUCUGCAUUUCCAUGGUUGUUGCAGCUCUGUUCACAACAUCCAAGAUUAGGAAGCAACCCAAGUGUCCAUGAACAGAUGAAUGGACAAAGAAAAUGUGGUA